RNAcentral lists this unclassified non-coding RNA (253 nucleotides) under uncultured Gammaproteobacteria bacterium. RNAcentral describes it as "contains 16S-23S intergenic spacer region". It matches the Rfam family "Bacterial small subunit ribosomal RNA", at positions 524 to 776 of the family's 1533-position model. The record is from RNAcentral. Lineage: Bacteria; Pseudomonadati; Pseudomonadota; Gammaproteobacteria.
UACAGAGGGUGCGAGCGUUAAUCGGAAUUACUAGGCGUAAAGCGCGCGUAGGCGGUUUUGUAAGUCAGGUGUGAAAGCCCCAGGCUCAACCUGGGAACUGCAUUCGAGACUGCACGACUGGAGUAUGAAAGAGGGCAGCGGAAUUUCCGGUGUAGCGGUGAAAUGCGUAGAUAUCGGAAGGAACAUCAGUGGCGAAAGCGGCUGCCUGGCCCAAUACUGACGCUCAUGUGCGAAAGCGUGGAGAGCAAACAGG